CUUUGAGUCGACCAUAAGGGUCAGCGCAUGGACCACGGGUCAGCGCAUAGCAUGCUUGAGCCGACCUACGGUCGACGCAUAGCAUACUGGAGCCGACCUAUGGUCGACGCAUAGCAUAUUUGAGCCGACCUAUGGUCGACCGCUCGUGCGAAAACUCAGUUUUCUGAGUAUUUUCCACUGUGUGAAAAGCUGUUUUUGGUUGCCAGACCACAAAUUCG
Molecule: long non-coding RNA, 218 nt
Filed under: Lathyrus oleraceus (garden pea)
Lineage: Eukaryota; Viridiplantae; Streptophyta; Magnoliopsida; Fabales; Fabaceae
Description: Pisum sativum (pea) long non-coding RNA (PSAT_LNC042302)
Source: RNAcentral